CCUACGGGCGGCUGCAGUGGGGAAUAUUGCACAAUGGGGGAAACCCUGAUGCAGCAACGCCGCGUGAAGGAAGACGGUUUUCGGAUUGUAAACUUCUGUUCUUAGUGAAGAAUAAUGACGGUAGCUAAGGAGCAAGCCACGGCUAACUACGUGCCAGCAGCCGCGGUAAUACGUAGGUGGCAAGCGUUGUCCGGAAUUACUGGGUGUAAAGGGAGCGCAGGCGGGAAGCCAAGUCAGCUGUGAAAACUACGGGCUUAACUUGUAGACUGCAGUUGAAACUGGUUUUCUUGAGUGAAGUAGAGGUUGGCGGAAUUCCGAGUGUAGCGGUGAAAUGCGUAGAUAUUCGGAGGAACACCGGUGGCGAAGGCAUCUCACGAAUCCGCGAUUGACGCUGAUGCACGAAAGCGUGGGUAUCAAACAGGAUUAGAUACCCGAGUAGUC
This 441-nucleotide ribosomal RNA is filed under the name uncultured bacterium. RNAcentral's name for it is "partial 16S ribosomal RNA". It matches the Rfam family "Bacterial small subunit ribosomal RNA", at positions 338 to 795 of the family's 1533-position model. The record is from RNAcentral.